CCUACGGGUGGCAGCAGUAGGGAAUCUUCCACAAUGGGCGAAAGCCUGAUGGAGCAACGCCGCGUGGGUGAAGAAGGUCUUCGGAUCGUAAAACCCUGUUGUUAGAGAAGAAAGUGCGUGAGAGUAACUGUUCACGUUUCGACGGUAUCUAACCAGAAAGCCACGGCUAACUACGUGCCAGCAGCCGCGGUAAUACGUAGGUGGCAAGCGUUAUCCGGAUUUAUUGGGCGUAAAGGGAACGCAGGCGGUCUUUUAAGUCUGAUGUGAAAGCCUUCGGCUUAACCGGAGUAGUGCAUUGGAAACUGGGAGACGUGAGUGCAGAAGAGGAGAGUGGAACUCCAUGUGUAGCGGUGAAAUGCGUAGAUAUAUGGAAGAACACCAGUGGCGAAAGCGGCUCUCUGGUCUGUAACUGACACUGAAGCACGAAAGCGUGGGGAUCAAACAGGAUUAGAUACCCCAGUAGUC
Molecule: ribosomal RNA, 465 nt
Filed under: uncultured bacterium
Lineage: Bacteria
Description: partial 16S ribosomal RNA
Rfam family: Bacterial small subunit ribosomal RNA
Source: RNAcentral